GCUCAUCUCAUUUGGGCGGCCAAACAAAUUUUGGGCAGCUGAGAUGUGGAUUCAAAUUUUGAAUCCCUUACUCAUCCCAAUCCCAAGACACUUAUCAUACGCAUACUCUUCACAUGCUUUUCUGUUCCUAUUCUUUCUUCUCCCAGAGAAACCCUAAAACACAAAUGAAGUCAGAUUUUGUAGAUUCCAAUUACUUCUCAUUCUCAACAAAAUCGACUUCUCAUUUUAUCAAAAUCACCCCGGAAUUAUUCAACGAUUUGGAUGAACAAAGAUCCAUCCAACUCACAUCCAAGUUCCGAAAACCCAAGAUCUAGGAUUUAAUUUCAUGUCUGGAUUAAACUGAUUAGGAUGACAGAUCUAUAGUUCGUGAUUGCACUUGGUUGAGGGUUUCGAACAGUGCGAGGUUAUGGCGUCUGCAGAUGCUGAGCUGGAGCGACUGCUUAAGGAGACAGGGAAACAGUUAUCGCUUCCUCAUGAUUAUGUUGAUGAACUUCUUCAUGUUCUUGAUAACUUUUCUUAGUUACAGCCGGAGAACUUUCGUGGAGGAGAAUGGUUGAAUAAGCUGGCGAUGAUGAAGACAGUUCAGAAGGGCACCGUGAAUCUGUGAGUUAAUACACCUCUCGAAAUCUUCAGUUUGAGUGGAUUCGCUCAGAUGUUAUUCCAGGGUUUCUAUGUGGAGAAGAAACGCAUGAUUGGUGGUUGGAUCUCAUAAAAGGAAUGAGUUGUUGACAAUAAGACAUGAAUCUGAUGGAAAGGGGGAGAGUUGAGCUUAAGAGGAUUGAAAACAAGAUAAACAGGCAAGUGACUUUUGCAAAAAGAAGAAAUGGACUGCUAAAGAAAGCAUAUGAACUCUCUGUACUUUGUGAUGCUGAGGUGGCUCUUAUUAUCUUCUCCAACCAUGGGAAGCUUUAUGAGUUCUGCAGCACCUCCAAGUACACUUUUUUACUAUGUGUUUGUGUGUGCUUUUGUACAUCUGAGAUGGGCUUUGUGUUUCUUGAUGUAUAGAUAUAUAAUCAUGUGGUUAUUUGUUAGUUUAGUGUGGUUUGUGUAGAAGAAGAUUCUCAAGUUGGAAUGUCGUUGUUAGGAUCACACUGGUUGAAUCUGAAGGUUCCGGAGCCUGCUCAGGCGUUGCAGAAUCUGCCGGUGCAUCUACAGGCAGAUAUAAGUAUGGAAGCCAUGAAUCAAGUCAAAAGGAGAAAAACGAUGUUCAGAAGGUGGAUAUCUGAUUUAAAUAUUGUGAUAUACCUUCAGUGAAAAGACUUAAGGUUCAGGCGCGUCCUCGAGCUAUCAUUGGUGGACAAACAGUUGUAUCCAAUCACUAUCCGCUCUGUUCAGGCAGGCUGCGCCUCAAGAGAUUUGUAAAAAACGUUCUUGAUUUGGGCCCAAACCAACAACCAACCAAAUUAGACCAGUUGAAUGUGACUGAUUUUGACAAAAUAAAAUCCAGUCAAAAAAACCUACCUACAGUUUAAAAAAAACAACAAUACAAUUGACUAGAUUUGCUGGGUCAACUGGAUUGGCAAAAGCGGUUUGUUUUGACGUUUCGAUAAAGAUAGUUCAUGAUAUUGUGCAGAUACAUUUUCUAAAAAAAAUAAUAGAUAUAAAUAACAAAUUUUGUUUACACGUGUUCCACAUUUUUUGGUCUAAUUUGGUAUUGAUAUCGAUUGUUAAUAGAUAUGUCGAUUUUUUUGGUCUUUUUCGUGUAGAGGGACUCUUUCCACUAUGUAACAUUUUUCUUUAAAUGUGUUACACAUAACAAAUUUUAUUAACCACAUGGACCUGCAAUACCGACCCGGUUCCCACCUUACCCGAACCACAGGUACAAACCAGUUUCAGAACCGGCCGAAGAAAAAAGAACCGAACCGGAUCCACCUAUACCCGGUCAAAACCCGGACCUGAACUGGCCAAAAACUCGAACAUGCCGGAACCUGUUCCUACUCGGAACCAGUACCUACCCGGUACCAAUUCUAAAAAAAAACCUGUUUUGUGCCCCUCUGAUAUUCACAAUUGAGCAUUUGGCCGGUGAAGUGAAACCAGUAGAAUGUGAUGUCGGUGACAACAUUCCUGGUGGCGCAAGAAAUAUAGACGGUAUGAUGAUUCUCAAGGCAAAGAAGACGUGGAAAGAAUCUAUGCUGAAUUGUGUGCCCCUCUGAUAUUCACAAUUGAGCAUUUGGCCGGUGAAGUGAAACCAGUAGAAUGUGAUGUCGGUGACAACAUUCCUGGUGGCGCAAGAAAUAUAGACGGUAUGAUGAUUCUCAAGGCAAAGAAGACGUGGAAAGAAUCUAUGCUGAAUAAGAUAGUGCAGCUGACAAAAGAAGGUUCAACAAAGGAAACCUAAGCUUCAAAUGUGGUUGGAUCAGUUUGGUGAGAAUUACAGCAGGGUAUGAUGCAACCAUCAAUGAGAUUGAACUUUUUUGCUUCAAAAAGUAGCCGAGCCAAGCAAUAUACACUAUAUACGCUUCAUACAGUACGGUGGCUGUUGAAUGGAGUAUUGGUUUUAUAGCAUAUAUUCUUUUAUGUGGGAGAAGGCCCUUUUGGGCCCGAACUAAGUGCCAGAUUUUUCGGGUUGUUUUAAAAAUCCAUUCAAGUUUUAAUGAAAUACCGUGGCCUACGUUAUCCUUUUGAGUCUAAA
Helianthus annuus (common sunflower) is the source of this 2632-nucleotide long non-coding RNA. RefSeq lists it as uncharacterized. The record is from RefSeq and is a predicted model, not a curated record. The transcript has 10 exons. NCBI's taxonomy places the organism in Eukaryota, Viridiplantae, Streptophyta, Magnoliopsida, Asterales, Asteraceae.